RNAcentral lists this long non-coding RNA (1967 nucleotides) under Nicotiana tabacum (common tobacco). Its description in RNAcentral is "long non-coding RNA (NTAB_LNC019562)". Lineage: Eukaryota; Viridiplantae; Streptophyta; Magnoliopsida; Solanales; Solanaceae. The record is from RNAcentral.
UGGAUCUUCACUAAUUUCAGAAUAUAUUACAUACCAACAGGAAUAGGCGAUUAACAAUCAACUAAAGGAAUUUCAGUGUUUAUUACAAUAUCUACUCAAUUACGCUAUAUGAUGAAAUACAUUUCCUUCAAAUUAGUAGUACAAUUACAAACAUAGACAUUCACACUUAUAUCUGAGUGAGCUGAUUUGCAGUGACUCCAAAAACCUCUGAUGCUCUAACGUUUGGCUUUGCGAUUUAUAGAUUUGACCAAUAAGUGGCCAAAUUUAUGAACUGCAGCCGUGUUCAUUGCACUGAUGACUCUUCUUUAUCACGAUUUUACUACCAAACAUUACUUAACAAAGCAUUAGGAACAUAUUUGGACUGAAAUUCAUGCUCAAAGGACAUAAACUAACAAAGACAGCACAUGCUUAGAGGCAUUUGUGAGCAACAGUAAAAUGACAAGGUUGAACUGAUUUCAAUUCAAGUCACUCAAACAUUUUGGAAUAUUUCACAAAAACAUCUAAAACACAACAUAUAUAAACACAACAAACAUCUGAAAUUCACAGAAGAAAACAUAGAAGCUUGAUUAUGCUAAAUUCCAAGUGUACAAAAGUUCAUAGAUGUGUACCUAACCUUGAAACAAGUUAGGAUAAGUCAAAUAAAGGCAGAUAUUGAAGAACGUAGCUCACCCAAACCCCAGAAAAUAGUAGAAAACCAGCUUCCAAUCCUGAAUAUAAUAUAGAAAUCCUUUUCAAAACCUGCUUUUAGGUGUUUCUCUGCGUGUGACUAGUGAAAAUCAGUAAAGGUGAAGGAAUGUGUGAGAAUUCUGCAGAGGAUCAGAACUGUGUGAGUGAAGGAAUGUGUGUCCUUAUAUAGAAUGUGAGGGUGUGUUAUAUGAGAGAAAAAUCUGAAAAAUGUGUCAGCCCUAAAUAUAAGGAAAAGAGCAUCUUUUCCAACAGAUUUUUGUAUAGCUAUUGUUAAGAUAUUCUUUUCUGAUUUUACAGCCCCUUUAACUUCUGAAUUUACCCCUUUUUCACCCCAAAUUUGACCUAAUUCCUUUGUCAUAUUGAAUUUUAAUCCCUUUCUAGAAGCUUCCUACAUAACUACCUAAGAUUCCCUAUUUUUGCUUUCCUAAUUAUCCCCUUAAAUUUCCUGUAUUUACCACUCAUCACCUUUUAAAAACUUUCUUUCAUCUCAUCCAUUAUUUUUAAAAUCACAGGCUUUAUUGAUGGGCCUAAUACAAAAGACUGUAUUGACCUGGGCCCUAACCUACUGCUUCCCUCGUUCUUGACAAACAAACUAGCUCAAAACACCCAAACUUAUAAUGAACCACUAAAGAUGAUUUAAAUCACCAAGCAAUCGCCACUUAAGCAAAAACGCAUACUGAAUUAAGACUAAUUAACCAAAUAGCCUAAACGGCUAAUUAAAAUUCAUCAAUCAAACAAAUAUGAGCAAGAAAAUGUAUGAAAAACUACUAGCUCCUUUAAGGUUUGAAUAACCAAAUCAAACUCGACGGGUUCAAAUAAGGCAAUGAGAUACUGGACUGAAAAACAUUGAGGAGAAUGGGAGGAUUUAUACCUAUUAAGGUCCAAUGGAUUGAUGAAAGCGAUCCCGGCGAGCCAAAGAAGCAGAACGGAAUAAUUGACGAGCAACUUGCCGGCCAACAGUGGUUUGGCCGAAUUUUGAUGGCUUCGAAAUGAGCUAAAACUUACAUUAAUCGAUUGCUCUUGACAAGAGCAAUUGAUCAAUGACAGUUUCAAGUCAAAACGAUUAAGAAUCACUGAAGAAAUCGAAGAGGAAUAAAACUAGGUUUUGAAAUUUCUCAGAUUGGAAAAUAAAGGAAAUCUAUGAUGUUUUGAAUGAAAUUAAGAAGAGAUAUGGGAUGGGGAGAAGACGAGGAUUGUAGGGUAUUAAUUUGAGGGAGUUUGAAGCUUGGCCGCCGGCAGAGAUGGAUUUGGUGAUGAGAGGCGACUAGGGUUGAGAGCGA